This is a long non-coding RNA of Pundamilia nyererei, 165 nucleotides long. RefSeq lists it as uncharacterized. NCBI's taxonomy places the organism in Eukaryota, Metazoa, Chordata, Actinopteri, Cichliformes, Cichlidae. The transcript is spliced from 3 exons. The record is from RefSeq and is a predicted model, not a curated record.
AGGUGAAUAUCUACAGGAGAUAAAAAACAGAAAGAGAAUUAAUACAUUUUCAUCUGAUCUCAGUUUUGAUUUAACUGAUUAAACAAUGGCCGUUGGACUGAUGAUAUCAAUUUUGUUGCUUCUUAUAGGCCAAGCCACAACGAUGGCCACAGCCCCAGCAACUAC